GAGCGGAGAGAAGUAGCUUGCUACUGAUCUUAGCGGCGGACGGGUGAGUAAUACUUAGGAAUCUGGCUAUUAGUGGGGGACAACAUUUCGAAAGGGAUGCUAAUACCGCAUACGUCCUACGGGAGAAAGCAGGGGAUCAGUAAUGACCUUGCGCUAAUAGAUGAGCCUAAGUCGGAUUAGCUAGUUGGUGGGGUAAAGGCCUACCAAGGCGACGAUCUGUAGCGGGUCUGAGAGGAUGAUCCGCCACACUGGGACUGAGACACGGCCCAGACUCCUACGGGAGGCAGCAGUGGGGAAUAUUGGACAAUGGGGGGAACCCUGAUCCAGCCAUGCCGCGUGUGUGAAGAAGGCCUUAUGGUUGUAAAGCACUUUAAGCGAGGAGGAGGGUACUGGUAUUAAUACUACCAGCUACUGGACGUUACUCGCAGAAUAAGCACCGGCUAACUCUGUGCCAGCAGCCGCGGUAAUACAGAGGGUGCGAGCGUUAAUCGGAUUUACUGGGCGUAAAGCGUGCGUAGGCGGCUAAUUGAGUCGGAUGUGAAAUCCCCGAGCUUAACUUGGGAAUUGCAUUCGAUACUGGUUAGCUAGAGUGUGGGAGAGGAUGGUAGAAUUCCAGGUGUAGCGGUGAAAUGCGUAGAGAUCUGGAGGAAUACCGAUGGCGAAGGCAGCCAUCUGGCCUAACACUGACGCUGAGGUACGAAGCAUGGGGAGCAAACAGGAUUAGAUACCCUGGUAGUCCAUGCCGUAAACGAUGUCUACUAGCCGUUGGUCUCUUUGAGGGAUUAGUGGCGCAGCUAACGCGAUAAGUAGACCGCCUGGGGAGUACGGUCGCAAGACUAAAACUCAAAUGAAUUGACGGGGGCCCGCACAAGCGGUGGAGCAUGUGGUUUAAUUCGAUGCAACGCGAAGAACCUUACCUGGUCUUGACAUAGUAAGAACUUUCCAGAGAUGGAUUGGUGCCUUCGGGAACUUACAUACAGGUGCUGCAUGGCUGUCGUCAGCUCGUGUCGUGAGAUGUUGGGUUAAGUCCCGCAACGAGCGCAACCCUUAUCGUCAGUUACAAGUGUCUGACGAGACUGCCCCCGCUCUGCGGGGGAGGAAGGAGAGGACGACGUCAAGUCAGCACGUCCCUUACAUCUAGGGCUACACACAUCCUACAAUGGAGCCGACAACGGGUCGCGACGGGGUAACCCUGAGCCAAUCCUUAUAAACGGCUCCUCAGUUCAGAUUGAGGGCUGCAACCCGCCCUCAUGAAGCCGGAAUCGGUAGUAAUCGCAAAUCAGCAGGUUGCGGUGAAUACGUUCUCGCUCCUUGUACACACUGCCCGUCAAGCCAGCAAAGUUGGCAGGGCCCGAAGCGGAUGACUCUAACUCGCAAGAGAUGAGCUCUUCUACGGCCAGGUCAGCGAUGAGGACU
Molecule: ribosomal RNA, 1416 nt
Filed under: uncultured bacterium
Lineage: Bacteria
Description: bacterial SSU rRNA
Rfam family: Bacterial small subunit ribosomal RNA
Source: RNAcentral